GUCUUCCACCGGGUUUCCGUAGCCCGUGACUGAUUUCAAAGCGCUACCAAAUCAUGGUCUCUGCACAGGUCCUGAAUUCUUGACGAAUAUUUAUUCCGAUGAAUAUUUAUUGCGAUGAAUUAUUAUCCUCACUCAGUUGGUGCCAAUAUUGGAUAAGGAAGAUGAGACAGAGAAAUUAAAUUACUAGCUCCCAGUCACAAAGGUGCCCAACACCAUCACAAUUAAUCUCUUGAGAGGAAUAUUCUUUGGGUUCACAGAAGAUGAAAUCUGAACAACUACCAGAGAUAGAUGGAAAAUCUGGAGAAGCCAAGUUAAUAAAGACCUUCCCCUUU
Long non-coding RNA from Equus caballus (horse), 332 nucleotides. RefSeq lists it as uncharacterized. NCBI's taxonomy places the organism in Eukaryota, Metazoa, Chordata, Mammalia, Perissodactyla, Equidae. The record is from RefSeq and is a predicted model, not a curated record.